UACGUAGGGGGCGAGCGUUGUCCGGAUUUAUUGGGCGUAAAGAGCUCGUAGGCGGUUUGGUAAGUUGGAUGUGAAAUCUCCAGGCUCAACUUGGAGGGGUCAUUCGAUACUGCCAUGACUAGAGUUCGGUAGGGGAGUGUGGAAUUCCUGGUGGAGCGGUGAAAUGCGCAGAUAUCAGGAGGAACACCCGUGGCGAAGGCGGCUCGCUGGGACGUUACUGACGCUGAGACGCGAAAGCGUGGGGAGCAAACAGG
Molecule: ribosomal RNA, 254 nt
Filed under: uncultured bacterium
Lineage: Bacteria
Description: partial 16S ribosomal RNA
Rfam family: Bacterial small subunit ribosomal RNA
Source: RNAcentral